RNAcentral lists this long non-coding RNA (3146 nucleotides) under Salmo salar (Atlantic salmon). RNAcentral describes it as "lncRNA (ENSSSAG00000082175.1)". Lineage: Eukaryota; Metazoa; Chordata; Actinopteri; Salmoniformes; Salmonidae. The record is from RNAcentral.
CCCGACGGUGUGCUUACUUACGUUCGAUUCGUGAAAGACACUGAGCAUAAAACCUUUGCUUACGCAGGCUUUUAAAUAAGAUCCCAUUUGUAAUUUACGUUCUUGUGAUCUAUAAAUCUCAAAUUAACUUAAUAUUGACUUAAAAUCAGCGAGUUCCCCCUCAUUAAAAGCCAAACAGGUAUCUUGGGAGUGUCGCCGCUGCAGUGAACGAGGUGGGGCAGCAAGACAGAACUGUGGCUGAUGGGGGAAAGAAAUGGUCUGACCUUAAACUGCAAGGGGGAAGAAAUGCCCGACAUAACCAGCAGGAUUAAGGCAACUGGAGGGUCCUGGCACGCCGGAGCUCUCCCAAAUGGACCAGCGCAUUGGGACACAUCACUGGGGAAAGAACAUACACUGGCACAUGCUCCGACGGCGACAGUGAAUGUUUAAAAAAGUGCCAUCGUAAACGGUGAAGCCGGCUGGCGAAACCCCCACGACUGGGUCACGAGACGUGGGAAGCUGCGUUGCAGCCCGUGCGCUCUCCACCCAGAGAUGAAGACCGAGGUUAAGUUGAUUUUAUAUUCACACAGUCGGACAUUCAGACAUCCAAAAGCCAUUUAAAAAAAAAAGCAAUUUAAAAAUGAAUAACUAAUUCACCGUUUGUCACAGAAUUAUCAAGCUAGAUAUGAUUUAGUCCUGUAAAUAUCUAGCAUACUUUUACAACCUUUUUGUUUUGAGGAAAAAUUCCAGUUUUGACUUGAUAGAAAUACAUAACAUCUAUAAAAUGCCAUUCAAAGCUAUAUAAAUUAAUGUUUUCACUGAUUAUGACAGAAUCAUCAAACUAAGUCUGAUUUAUUCUAUAAAUGUCUAGUAUACGUUUACAACCUUUGAUUUGAUAGAGUGUAACGCGUGUCGUACAAAGGGGACCAAGGCGCGGCGUGUGAAGCGCACAUAUUUUACUUUAAUGAAACAACAACAACCCGACCGUCAACAGUUCUGUCAGGUACAAGGAACAAAACAGAAAACAACUACCCAUAAACCACAGGGGGAAAAAAAAACACCCCUACUAAAUAUGACCUUCAAUUAGAGGCAAUGAGGAACAGCUGCCUCCAAUUGAAGGUCAACCCAAUAAACCUCAACAUAGAAAUAGAGAACAUAGAACAAACACAAAAACACUCCCCUGUCACGCCCUGACCACUCGACCAUAGAAAAUAACAACUUAUAUCGGUCAGGACGUGACAUGGAAAUACAUCUCAAAUAUUGCAUUUAAAGAUGAAGAACUCUAAUUCAGUGAUUGUCUCAGAAAAAAGUGAAAAUAUGCCUUCAUUUGCAAUAACUUUAAAUAAAAUGUUCAUUUCAAGUGCAAUUUGUUCUAUAUGAAGUUAGACAAUGUUUACAUAAACAUAAAACAGGGUUAUGUUUAUUUACAUGUAAAUUACAGUUCUGGAAUACCCAAAUUCUGUUACAUGCUUUUGCAAUUAGGAACGUUUUUUUUAAUUGGAUUUUUUGUUCAAUUAUUAAAUUGACUUUAAAUGACCUUCAUAUGACCCUGACAGAAGCACACAUAACUGAGGUGUUAAUCAUCGUUGAGUAUUCAGGCAAUAUAAAUCAUACAGUAAUAAAGGUAUACAUUAGCAAAAAAAUAGUAUAUCUCUAGUAUCUCUCACAGUAGAAUAAUAGAGUCAUGAUAAUAGAACAUCAGAGCAAUAACUAGGGUUGCAAAGGGAUGGAAUUUUUCAGGGAAUUUUUCAUGGGAAGUUCAGCCUGGGAAUAUUGCUUAAAUUCAUCAAAAGUUAGCUUAUAACAGUGAACCUUUUUUUGUGGGAUACAUAUAAGGAAAUUCUAGAUCUUGUGGUAUAUUUUGGUUAAACUAUCCCCAAUUCAAUGGAAUUGCAACCCUCUGCAUGCACAGUGCAUUCUUCCAUCACAUGUACAGCUGAUUCUCAAGAUCUGGUACAUUAAUGAGAUGCUAUUGAGCCCACACUACUACACUGUCUGAGUCAAGGACUACAUGCUUUCUGGUGAGUUUUGAUUACAAUACUGGGUGGGGUGAAAAUAUCUUAUAUGACAACUAGUAAAUAGUAGCCUACAGCAAAGUGUGUUUUAAAUAAUUUCUAACUUGUUAACAAUUGCUGCUUGUUAGUUUUUGCUACCAUGUGGGUUUUAGCUUGCUUGAGCCUGCUAACUGAGGAAUGUUAAUUCACCUGUUUCCAUACAUGUUUCAUUUUAAAACAUUUCUCGUAAAAAGGAGUUGUUUAAUCAACUGCUUAACUAUUUAUCUGUACAUAGAAUUUAAUUUUUUUAUUUUUUUUAUCUUUACAGAAAAAUGCUAUGGGCACCAUCUGAUGUGCGAAGACAUUUCACUGCAGCUAAUGUAGAAGGAAAAGCUGUUGUAACACCCUGGCCAUAGAGAGGGGUUUUUGUUCUUUAUUUUGGUUAGGCCAGGGUGUGACAUGGGUGGGCGUUCUGUUUAUUUUUCUAUGUUGGUUUGGUUCGGCCGUGUGUGGCUCUCAAUCAGGAACAGCUGUAGUUCGUUGUUGCUGAUUGAGAGUCAUACAUAAGCAGCCUGUUUUUCCUUUGGGGAUUUGUGGGUGAUUAUUUUCUGUCUAGGUUUGUGUUAAUCCUGACAGGACUGUUUGGCUGUCGUUUCUUUUCGUGUUUUGUUUGUAGUGUUCAUUCGUUUAUUAAAAUACUUUAUGAUGAACACAUCCUCCGCUGCACCUUGGUCUCAUUGCGACGACGGUCAUUACAGCUGUGUACAUUUGCAAAUACUGGGCCAAAUCAUAUGUGAAGUAUGCAACAAAGAUGCAGAAUUAUCUGGCCAAGUGCAUAAAGUUCCCUCAGCGCUCACAACAAGCAACCUCUGACUAAAGUCCCUCUACUUCUAUUGGAGGUGAAAAUGAUGAAUCAGACACCUUAUCGAUAGUAACAGAUCACGGUCCUCCUGGAAUCAGAAGUUGUCAGAGUGUCACGAUUCUCUAAGACAAGAACCCAGAAGCAGACCAGGACAAGGUGAGUAAAAUGAAGGUGAGUAUUUAUUGGUAGUCUUGAUGGGUAUAUUGAGUGAUCCAGGAGACGGAGCGGCAGCGGAGGUGAGUUGAUGAGAGUGAAUAGGCAGAUCCAAUGACGUCACUGUAUCCACCGACGGCCAGGCAAGGGAGUUGAAU